This 440-nucleotide ribosomal RNA is filed under the name uncultured bacterium. RNAcentral's name for it is "partial 16S ribosomal RNA". It matches the Rfam family "Bacterial small subunit ribosomal RNA", at positions 338 to 795 of the family's 1533-position model. The record is from RNAcentral.
CCUACGGGAGGCAGCAGUCGAGAAUCAUUCACAAUGGGGGAAACCCUGAUGGUGCGACGCCGCGUGGGUGAAGGAGCGUUUCGGCGCGUAAAGCCCUAUCGGCAGGGAAGAAGAAGGACGGUACCUGACUAACAAGCCCCGGCAAAAUACGUCCCAGCAGCCGCGGUAAAACGUAGGGGGCCAGCGUUAUCCGGAUUUACUGGGUGAAAAGGGGGCGCAGACGGGACUGAAAGUUGGGUGUCAAGUCUACCGGCGCAACCGGUAGCCGCACUCCAAACUGCAGUUCUUGAGUGAAGUAGAGGCAGGCGGAAUUCCUAGUGUAGCGGUGAAAUGCGUAGAUAUUAGGAGGAACACCAGUGGCGAAGGCGGCCUGCUGGGCUUUUACUGACGCUGAGGCUCGAAAGUGUGGGGAGCAAACAGGAUUAGAUACCCGAGUAGUC